GUUUGAUCCUGGCUCAGAGCGAACGUUAGCGGCAGGCUUAACACAUGCAAGUCGAGCGACAAAAGGGGCUUCGGCCCCUGAGUAGAGCGGCGGACGGGGUGCGUAACACGUGGAUAAUCUGCCUCGUGGCGGGGGAUAACAGUCCGAAAGGACUGCUAAUACCGCAUGUCAGGUCGGAAACCCUGGUUUCUGACGAAAAAGAGGGCGCCCGCAAGGGGCUCUCACCACGAGAUGAGUCCGCGGCCCAUCAGCUAGUUGGCGGUGUAAUAGACCACCAAGGCUAAGACGGGUAGCUGGUCUGAGAGGAUGACCAGCCACACUGGGACUGAGACACGGCCCAGACUCCUACGGGAGGCAGCAGUGGGGAAUAUUGGACAAUGGGCGAAAGCCUGAUCCAGCCAUGCCGCGUGAGUGAUGAAGGUCUUCGGA
This 429-nucleotide ribosomal RNA is filed under the name uncultured bacterium. Its description in RNAcentral is "bacterial SSU rRNA". It matches the Rfam family "Bacterial small subunit ribosomal RNA", at positions 11 to 422 of the family's 1533-position model. The record is from RNAcentral.